Molecule: ribosomal RNA, 842 nt
Filed under: bacterium
Lineage: Bacteria
Description: partial 23S ribosomal RNA
Rfam family: Bacterial large subunit ribosomal RNA
Source: RNAcentral
GCGACGGCGGAGUUCGGCACCUCGAUGUCGGCUCACCACAUCCCGGAGCUGGAGAAGGUUCCAAGGGUUUGGCUGUUCGCCAAUUAAAGUGGUACGCGAGCUGGGUUCAGACCGUUCAGGACGUGGAGCGUGAAGCGCAUAGCGUGGAACGUAGGAAAAAAUCUUACGAAACGCGCUGUACGUUAUGCGUUGCGCGAAUUGAACAGUCUGAACCCGAUUGAGAGAGAAAGUUAUCCAAAUGAAAUAUCAGGUUUUUUCGUCAAAAAAAGAAAAAGAAACAACCAAUCACGGCGGUCGUAUGGUAGCUCGCUAAAGCGACUACACUUGGAUUUUCUAAAGCGGAGUACCGCUAAGAAAAUCCGGGCACAGGAAUGCAUGCGAAGAAUUCAACUGAUAUCGGUAAAACCCCUCUGGGGGCGAUACCGAGGGAAUGGUUCGACGUUGCUCACCACGAGCGAUUAAGAAUCGACCCGUAGAGACUGAAUGUUGAACAUCCAGAACGGAUGAAGUUACAGUCCGAUCCUUCCGGUAACGGAAGAAAACACAGUGCGUGAGACAGGUUGGUCUCCUAUCUACUAUGAGCGUUGAUUCUUGAGGAGAGCCUUUUCUAGUACGAGAGGACCGAAAAGGACUGACCUCUGGUCUGCCUGUUGUUCCGCCAGGAGCAUUGCAGGGUAGCUAUGUCGGGAAGGGAUAACCGCUGAAAGCAUCUAAGCGGGAAGCCUCCUCCAAGAUGAGGAAUCGUUAAGGCCCGUGAAAGAUGAUCACGUUGAUAGGCCCGAGGUGUACAUGCAGUAAUGCAUUGAGCCGAAGGGUACUAAUUCGCCGAUCUUCUGCGGGGA